CCUACGGGAGGCAGCAGUGGGGAAUAUUGCACAAUGGGGGAAACCCUGAUGCAGCGACGCCGCGUGAGUGAUGAAGUACUUCGGUAUGUAAAGCUCUAUUAGCAGGGAAGUUAAUGACGGUACCUGAGCAAGUAUCCCCGGCCAACAACGUGCCAGCUGCCGCGGUAAUACGGAGGAGGCCACCGUAAUCCGGAUUUACUGGGUGUAAGGGGAGCGUAGACGGUAUGGCAAGUCUGAAGUGAAAGCCCGGGGCCCAACCGCGAGACUGCUUUGGAAACUGUUAAGCUGGAGUGCAGGAGAGGUAAGUGGAAUUCGUAGUGUAGCGGUGAAAUGCGUAGAUAUUAGGAAGAACACCGAUGGCGAAGGCGGCUUACUAAACUGUAACUGACGUUGAGGCUCGAAAGCGUGGGGAGCAAACAGGAUUAGAUACCCCAGUAGUC
This 440-nucleotide ribosomal RNA is filed under the name uncultured bacterium. RNAcentral's name for it is "partial 16S ribosomal RNA". It matches the Rfam family "Bacterial small subunit ribosomal RNA", at positions 338 to 795 of the family's 1533-position model. The record is from RNAcentral.